RNAcentral lists this long non-coding RNA (277 nucleotides) under Gossypium barbadense (sea-island cotton). Its description in RNAcentral is "long non-coding RNA (GBAR_LNC016047)". Lineage: Eukaryota; Viridiplantae; Streptophyta; Magnoliopsida; Malvales; Malvaceae. The record is from RNAcentral.
UUGAAUCAAAAUAAAAUUUUAUUUUAUAAAUUGAUGGUUUAAAUAAUUUAUUUAAUUAAAAUUAAAUAAGUGUUCAAAUCCAUCGUACUAAAAUUCGGUAUCCUAAUUCCUAAAAUGAUGUAUUCCAAAAACCAUACACUCUCCAUUUAUUUUAAAAUAUAUUUAUAACAUACAAAAAAACAACAUACAAAUUAAGGCCCUCAAUGUUUGGCAGUUACCUUUUUCUUUUCACGUGGGUGGUUGGGUGGAAGAAUGGAAGGCUUAGAAAGAAUAAGGG